Molecule: ribosomal RNA, 253 nt
Filed under: uncultured bacterium
Lineage: Bacteria
Description: partial 16S ribosomal RNA
Rfam family: Bacterial small subunit ribosomal RNA
Source: RNAcentral
UACGUAUGGUGCAAGCGUUAUCCGGAUUUACUGGGCGUAAAGGGAGCGCAGGCGGCGCGCCAAGUCUGAUGUGAAACCCCGGGGCUCGACCCCGGGCAUGCAUUGGAAACUGGCGGGCUGGAGUGCCGGAGAGGUAAGCGGAAUUCCUAGUGUAGCAGUGAAAUGCGUAGAUAUUAGGAGGAACACCAGUGGCGAAGGCGGCUUACUGGACGGCAACUGACGCUGAGGCUCGAAAGCGUGGGGAGCAAACAGG